RNAcentral lists this unclassified non-coding RNA (208 nucleotides) under Hevea brasiliensis (rubber tree). Lineage: Eukaryota; Viridiplantae; Streptophyta; Magnoliopsida; Malpighiales; Euphorbiaceae. The record is from RNAcentral.
GUAAGCAUAUAACAUGGAUUGGGACGGAGGGAGUUCACGAAAACGUGAUUCUUAGAUGAAAACGUGAAAAAGGUCAUACAUUUCUUCCUGAAGGAGGAACUAGAGCUACAACUGAUAUAUAAUCGUGUAGGACCUUAAUGUUUUCAACGUCAGAAAGGAUCAACAUGUUACAUGUGGUUUACUUGCUGAAACAUGACCUGAAGCAAAA